GUUUAAUAAAAACAUAAGAUUUUGCUAAAUUUAAUUAUGAAGUAUAAAAUCUGACACCUGCCCGGUGCUGCAAGAUGAAAAUUAAUAAAUUUACGUUUAUUAUAUAAGUCCCAGUUAACGGCGGCUGUAACCCUGACAGUCCGAAGGUAGCGAAAUUCCUUGGCGGGUAAUUACCGUCCUGCAUGAAUGGUGUAACGACUGCCCUACUGUCUCAACUUUUUACCCUGUGAAAUUGAAAUAGUUGUGAAGAUGCAACUAGCUACAAUUAGACGGAGAGACCCUAUGCAUUUUUACUGCAUUCAUUUAUAGUUUUUGUUUGAUGAUAAUCUAGUUAUGUAGUAGAUUCAAUCACCAAUGGAAAACUACUUUAUAGGAAAACAGAAAUAAAGUAUAAAAAAUAAAAUAAAUAUACGUAAUUUAUGAUUGGUAGUUUAACUGGGGCGGUAGUCUUCUAAAAAGUAACGAAGAUGUAUA
This 474-nucleotide ribosomal RNA is filed under the name Platyophrya macrostoma. RNAcentral describes it as "partial Bacterial large subunit ribosomal RNA". It matches the Rfam family "Bacterial large subunit ribosomal RNA", at positions 1802 to 2312 of the family's 2925-position model. Lineage: Eukaryota; Ciliophora; Colpodea; Cyrtolophosidida; Platyophryidae. The record is from RNAcentral.